GUGCCAGCCGCCGCGGUAAUACAGAGGGUGCGAGCGUUGUCCGGAAUCACUGGGCGUAAAGGGCGCGUAGGUGGCGACCCAAGUCAGUGGUGAAAGCUCGACGCUCAACGUCGAGUCGGCCACUGAUACUGGGUUGCUCGAGCACUGUAGAGGCAGAUGGAAUUCCGGGUGUAGCGGUGGAAUGCGUAGAGAUCCGGAAGAACACCGGUGGCGAAGGCGGUCUGCUGGGCAGUAGCUGACACUGAGGCGCGACAGCGUGGGGAGCAAACAGGAUUAGAUACCCCCGUAGUCC
RNAcentral lists this ribosomal RNA (292 nucleotides) under uncultured bacterium. RNAcentral's name for it is "partial 16S ribosomal RNA". It matches the Rfam family "Bacterial small subunit ribosomal RNA", at positions 505 to 796 of the family's 1533-position model. The record is from RNAcentral.